GAUGAACGCUGGCGGCGUGCCUAAUACAUGCAAGUCGAGCGAACAGACGAGGAGCUUGCUCCUUUGACGUUAGCGGCGGACGGGUGAGUAACACGUGGAUAACCUACCUAUAAGACUGGGAUCACUUUGGGAAACCGGAGCUAAUACCGGAUAAUAUAUUGAACCGCAUGGUUCAAUAGUGAAAGACGGUUUUGCUGUCAAUUAUAGAUGGAUCCGCGCCGCAUUAGCUAGUUGGUAAGGUAACGGCUUACCAAGGCGACGAUGCGUAGCCGACCUGAGAGGGUGAUCGGCGACACUGGAACUGAGACACGGUCCAGACUCCUACGGGAGGCAGCAGUAGGGAAUCUUCCGCAAUGGGCGAAAGCCUGACGGAGCAACGCCGCGUGAGUGAUGAAGGUCUUCGGAGCGUAAAACUCUGUUAUUAGGGAAGAACAGAUGUGUAAGUAACUAUACACGUCUUGACGGUACCUAAUCAGAAAGCCACGGCUAACUACGUG
RNAcentral lists this ribosomal RNA (497 nucleotides) under uncultured bacterium. RNAcentral describes it as "partial 16S ribosomal RNA". It matches the Rfam family "Bacterial small subunit ribosomal RNA", at positions 28 to 507 of the family's 1533-position model. The record is from RNAcentral.